This 434-nucleotide ribosomal RNA is filed under the name uncultured bacterium. Its description in RNAcentral is "partial 16S ribosomal RNA". It matches the Rfam family "Bacterial small subunit ribosomal RNA", at positions 29 to 507 of the family's 1533-position model. The record is from RNAcentral.
AGCGAACGCUGGCGGCAGGCCUAACACAUGCGAGUCGAACGAACCUUUCGGGGUUAGUGGCGGACGGGUGAGUAACACGUGGGAACGUGCCUUUAGGUUCGGAAUAACUCAGGGAAACUUGUGCUAAUACCGAAUGUGCCCUUCGGGGGAAAGAUUUAUCGCCUUUAGAGCGGCCCGCGUCUGAUUAGCUAGUUGGUUGAGGUAAUGGCUCACCAAGGCGACGAUCAGUAGCUGGUCUGAGAGGAUGAUCAGCCACAUUGGGACUGAGACACGGCCCAAACUCCUACGGGAGGCAGCAGUGGGGAAUCUUGCGCAAUGGGCGAAAGCCUGACGCAGCCAUGCCGCGUGAAUGAUGAAGGUCUUACGAUUGUAAAAUUCUUUCACCGGGGACGAUAAUGACGGUACCCGGAGAAGAAGCCCCGGCUAACUUCGUG